This 341-nucleotide ribosomal RNA is filed under the name uncultured bacterium. RNAcentral describes it as "bacterial SSU rRNA". It matches the Rfam family "Bacterial small subunit ribosomal RNA", at positions 28 to 342 of the family's 1533-position model. The record is from RNAcentral.
GACGAACGCUGGCGGCGUGCUUAACACAUGCAAGUCGAACGAGAGGACAAGAGAAGCUUGCUUCUUUUGGAAUCGAGUGGCAAACGGGUGAGUAACACGUAAACAACCUGCCUUCAGGAUGGGGACAAACAGACGGAAACGACUGCUAAUACCGAAUACGCUUGGGAGACCGCAUGAUCUUCCAAGGAAAGGGUGGCCUCUACUUGUAAGCUAUCGCCUGAAGAGGGGUUUGCGUCUGAUUAGGCAGUUGGUGAGGUAACGGCCCACCAAACCUACGAUCAGUAGCCGGUCUGAGAGGAUGAACGGCCACACUGGAACUGAGACACGGUCCAGACUCCUAC